CGCGUAGGCGGCCCGGUAAGUCCGCUCUGAAAGUCCAGGGCUCAACCCUGGAAAGCGGGUGGAUACUGCCGGGCUAGAAUCCGGAAGAGGCGAGUGGAAUUCCUGGUGUAGCGGUGGAAUGCGCAGAUAUCAGGAGGAACACCAAUAGCGAAGGCAGCUCGCUGGGACGGUAUUGACGCUGAGGCGCGAAAGCGUGGGGAGCAAACA
RNAcentral lists this ribosomal RNA (207 nucleotides) under uncultured bacterium. Its description in RNAcentral is "partial 16S ribosomal RNA". It matches the Rfam family "Bacterial small subunit ribosomal RNA", at positions 568 to 774 of the family's 1533-position model. The record is from RNAcentral.